RNAcentral lists this ribosomal RNA (602 nucleotides) under Bacillus subtilis. RNAcentral's name for it is "bacterial SSU rRNA". It matches the Rfam family "Bacterial small subunit ribosomal RNA", at positions 566 to 1168 of the family's 1533-position model. The record is from RNAcentral. Lineage: Bacteria; Bacillati; Bacillota; Bacilli; Caryophanales; Bacillaceae.
GGCUCGCAGGCGGUUUCUUAAGUCUGAUGUGAAAGCCCCCGGCUCAACCGGGGAGGGUCAUUGGAAACUGGGAAACUUGAGUGCAGAAGAGGAGAGUGGAAUUCCACGUGUAGCGGUGAAAUGCGUAGAGAUGUGGAGGAACACCAGUGGCGAAGGCGACUCUCUGGUCUGUAACUGACGCUGAGGAGCGAAAGCGUGGGGAGCGAACAGGAUUAGAUACCCUGGUAGUCCACGCCGUAAACGAUGAGUGCUAAGUGUUAGGGGGUUUCCGCCCCUUAGUGCUGCAGCUAACGCAUUAAGCACUCCGCCUGGGGAGUACGGUCGCAAGACUGAAACUCAAAGGAAUUGACGGGGGCCCGCACAAGCGGUGGAGCAUGUGGUUUAAUUCGAAGCAACGCGAAGAACCUUACCAGGUCUUGACAUCCUCUGACAACCCUAGAGAUAGGGCUUUCCCUUCGGGGACAGAGUGACAGGUGGUGCAUGGUUGUCGUCAGCUCGUGUCGUGAGAUGUUGGGUUAAGUCCCGCAACGAGCGCAACCCUUGAUCUUAGUUGCCAGCAUUCAGUUGGGCACUCUAAGGUGACUGCCGGUGACAAACCGGAG